Molecule: ribosomal RNA, 460 nt
Filed under: uncultured bacterium
Lineage: Bacteria
Description: partial 16S ribosomal RNA
Rfam family: Bacterial small subunit ribosomal RNA
Source: RNAcentral
CCUACGGGCGGCAGCAGUGAGGAAUAUUGGUCAAUGGCCGGAAGGCUGAACCAGCCAUGCCGCGUGAAGGUCAGUGCCCUAUGGGCGUUAAACUUCUUUUGUGCGGGAGCAAUAAUGGUCACGUGUGGCCAGACGAGAGUACCGUACGAAUAAGCAUCGGCUAACUCCGUGCCAGCAGCCGCGGUAAUACGGGGGAUGCAAGCGUUUUCCGGAUUUAUUGGGUUCAAAGGGUGCGUAGGCUGUGAGGGAAGUCAGCGGUGAAAUGCCCCCGCUCAACGGGGUGAAGUGCCAUUGAUACUGCCUGGCUGGAAUGCGGAUGCCGUGGGAGGAAUGUGUGGUGUAGCGGUGAAAUGCAUAGAUAUCACACAGAACACCGAUUGCGAAGGCAUCUCACGAAUCCGCGAUUGACGCUGAUGCACGAAAGCGUGGGUAUCAAACAGGAUUAGAUACCCUUGUAGUC